Molecule: unclassified non-coding RNA, 580 nt
Filed under: Chaetomium globosum
Lineage: Eukaryota; Fungi; Ascomycota; Sordariomycetes; Sordariales; Chaetomiaceae
Description: sequence contains 18S rRNA gene, ITS1, 5.8S rRNA gene, ITS2, 28S rRNA gene
Rfam family: 5.8S ribosomal RNA (bases 219-372)
Source: RNAcentral
UCGUAACAAGGUCUCCGUUGGUGAACCAGCGGAGGGAUCAUUACAGAGUUGCAAAACUCCCUAAACCAUUGUGAACGUUACCUAUACCGUUGCUUCGGCGGGCGGCCCCGGGGUUUACCCCCCGGGCGCCCCUGGGCCCCACCGCGGGCGCCCGCCGGAGGUCACCAAACUCUUGAUAAUUUAUGGCCUCUCUGAGUCUUCUGUACUGAAUAAGUCAAAACUUUCAACAACGGAUCUCUUGGUUCUGGCAUCGAUGAAGAACGCAGCGAAAUGCGAUAAGUAAUGUGAAUUGCAGAAUUCAGUGAAUCAUCGAAUCUUUGAACGCACAUUGCGCCCGCCAGCAUUCUGGCGGGCAUGCCUGUUCGAGCGUCAUUUCAACCAUCAAGCCCCCGGGCUUGUGUUGGGGACCUGCGGCUGCCGCAGGCCCUGAAAAGCAGUGGCGGGCUCGCUGUCGCACCGAGCGUAGUAGCAUACAUCUCGCUCUGGUCGCGCCGCGGGUUCCGGCCGUUAAACCACCUUUUAACCCAAGGUUGACCUCGGAUCAGGUAGGAAGACCCGCUGAACUUAAGCAUAUCAAUAA